UAUUAUUAAAAAUGUAAUUUAAAAUAUUUAAGUAGUAUUAGUUAUGUUCUUAAAACUUAAAAAAUUUGGCGGUAUUUUAGUCUAUCCAGAGGAACCUGUUUUGUAAUCGAUAUUCCACGAUGGACCUUACUUAAGUUUGUAAUCAGUUUAUAUACCGUCGUUAUCAGAAUAUUUUAUAAGAAUAAUAAUAUUCAAUAAUUUUUAUUAAAAAUUAUAUCAGAUCAAGGUGUAGCUUAUAUUUAAGUAAUAAUGGGUUACAAUAAAUUUAUUUAAAUGGAUAAAAUUAUGAAAAAAUUUUUGAAGGUGGAUUUGGUAGUAAAAUUAUAAAGAUUAAUAAUUUGAUUUUAGCUCUAAAAUAUGUACAUAUCGCCCGUCGCUCUUAUUAUUAAGAUAAGAUAAGUCGUAACAUAGUAGAUGUACUGGAAAGUGUAUCUAGAAUGA
RNAcentral lists this ribosomal RNA (441 nucleotides) under Drosophila punctatonervosa. RNAcentral's name for it is "partial 12S ribosomal RNA". The record is from RNAcentral. Lineage: Eukaryota; Metazoa; Arthropoda; Insecta; Diptera; Drosophilidae.